CAGCCGCCGCGGGAAUACAGAGGAUGCAAGCGUUAUCCGGAAUGAUUGGGCGUAAAGCGUCUGUAGGUGGCUUUUCAAGUCCGCCGUCAAAUCCCAGGGCUCAACCCUGGACAGGCGGUGGAAACUACCAAGCUGGAGUAUGGCAGAGGGGGGUGGAAUUCCACGUGUAGCAGUGAAAUGCGUAGAGAUGUGGAGGAACACCGAUGGCGAAGGCAGCCCCCUGGGAAAGUACUGACGCUCAUGUGCGAAAGCGUGGGGAGCAAACAGGAUUAGAUACCCGGGUAGUCCCUGUCUCUUAUAC
Molecule: ribosomal RNA, 301 nt
Filed under: uncultured bacterium
Lineage: Bacteria
Description: partial 16S ribosomal RNA
Rfam family: Bacterial small subunit ribosomal RNA
Source: RNAcentral